Molecule: non-coding RNA, 83 nt
Organism: Candidatus Peregrinibacteria bacterium
Lineage: Bacteria; Candidatus Peregrinibacteriota
Source: Rfam
GCCCAGGUGGCGGAAUGGUAGACGCGCUACUUUGAGGUGGUAGUGCUCGAAAGGGCGUGGAGGUUCAAGUCCUCUCCUGGGCA